GGGGAAUAUUGCACAAUGGGCGAAAGCCUGAUGCAGCAACGCCGCGUGAGGGAUGACGGCCUUCGGGUUGUAAACCUCUUUCAGUAGGGAAGAAGCGAAAGUGACGGUACCUACAGAAGAAGCACCGGCUAACUACGUGCCAGCAGCCGCGGUAAUACGUAGGGUGCGAGCGUUGUCCGGAAUUAUUGGGCGUAAAGAGCUUGUAGGCGGUUUGUCGCGUCUGCCGUGAAAAUCCGAGGCUCAACCUCGGACUUGCGGUGGGUACGGGCAGACUAGAGUGUGGUAGGGGAGACUGGAAUUCCUGGUGUAGCGGUGAAAUGCGCAGAUAUCAGGAGGAACACCGAUGGCGAAGGCAGGUCUCUGGGCCACUACUGACGCUGAGAAGCGAAAGCGUGGGGAGCGAAC
RNAcentral lists this ribosomal RNA (405 nucleotides) under uncultured bacterium. RNAcentral's name for it is "bacterial SSU rRNA". It matches the Rfam family "Bacterial small subunit ribosomal RNA", at positions 356 to 773 of the family's 1533-position model. The record is from RNAcentral.